This 261-nucleotide ribosomal RNA is filed under the name uncultured bacterium. Its description in RNAcentral is "partial small subunit ribosomal RNA". It matches the Rfam family "Bacterial small subunit ribosomal RNA", at positions 26 to 285 of the family's 1533-position model. The record is from RNAcentral.
AGAAUCAACGCUGGCGGCGUGCCUAACACAUGCAAGUCGAACGAGAAAGUGGAGCAAUCCAUGAGUAAAGUGGCGCACGGGUGAGUAACACGUGACUAACCUACCUUCGAGUGGGGGAUAACUCCGGGAAACCGGGGCUAAUACCGCAUAACAUCCUUGGAUCGGAAGAACUGGGGAUCAAAGGAGCAAUUCGCUUGAAGAGGGAGUCGCGGCUGAUUAGCUUGUUGGCGGGGUAAUGGCCCACCAAGGCGAUGAUCGGUA